AACGCUAGCUACAGGCUUAACACAUGCAAGUCGAGGGGAAACGACAUCGAAAGCUUGCUUUUGAUGGGCGUCGACCGGCGCACGGGUGAGUAACGCGUAUCCAACCUGCCCACCACUUGGGGAUAACCUUGCGAAAGUAAGACUAAUACCCAAUGACGUCUCUAGAAGACAUCUGAAGGAGAUUAAAGAUUUAUCGGUGAUGGAUGGGGAUGCGUCCGAUUAGCUUGUUGGCGGGGUAACGGCCCACCAAGGCGACGAUCAGUAGGGGUUCUGAGAGGAAGGUCCCCCACAUUGGAACUGAGACACGGUCCAAACUCCUACGGGAGGCAGCAGUGAGGAAUAUUGGUCAAUGGGCGAGAGCCUGAACCAGCCAAGUAGCGUGCAGGAAGACGGCCCUAUGGGUUGUAAACUGCUUUUAUAAGGGAAUAAAGUGAGUCUCGUGAGACUUUUUGCAUGUACCUUAUGAAUAAGGACCGGCUAAUUCCGUGCCAGCAGCCGCGGUAAUACGGAAGGUCCGGGCGUUAUCCGGAUUUAUUGGGUUUAAAGGGAGCGUAGGCCGGAGAUUAAGCGUGUUGUGAAAUGUAGACGCUCAACGUCUGCACUGCAGCGCGAACUGGUCUCCUUGAGUACGCACAAAGUGGGCGGAAUUCGUGGUGUAGCGGUGAAAUGCUUAGAUAUCACGAAGAACUCCGAUUG
This 696-nucleotide ribosomal RNA is filed under the name uncultured bacterium. RNAcentral's name for it is "bacterial SSU rRNA". It matches the Rfam family "Bacterial small subunit ribosomal RNA", at positions 32 to 715 of the family's 1533-position model. The record is from RNAcentral.